GGCCUGCGCAAUUGAUUCUGUAUUUGUCGUGUUUCGGCAAUAAACGCGCGCGUUUGAGAGCGUGUGUAAGGAGAAGCAGCUGAGGUCUGAUCGGCGUAGGUCGGUGCCGGACAGCGCGGGGAAAAGGCCAAGGAGCCCUUUAACGAGUGUAAAUGGCAAUGUUAUACGAAGAGUGAUCUCAUGUGAGUUAAGCGCGUUCCACAUUAUCCAUUUGCGUGUGUCGUACGUGGCAGCGAGCAACCGAGUAUCGCACUAGUUAGUAUCCGUGCGAUUGUAAUUAGCCGCGUUCUUCCGAUUGAUUUGCGUCUGCGAAUGAAUGUUUGGAGCAACGAAGAGAACGAUGGCAGUGACGUCGGCGGGAUGUGAGGAGACUGAUCAAUACGUUUCAAUAUGGCAAUUCAAUUCUAUAUUCAUAUGUAUCACCGCAGCUUCGUGGCUGAGCUGAACUACGCAUCGAGUCGAUAUUCCUGGAGGUGAGAAUUGCCAAGAGGGAGCUAACGUCCAUCGUCGCCGAAUUAUUGUGAAAUAAACGAACCGCAGCCGGUUCGUCGCGUCGCGCGUUUUUCUUCCGGGAGUGCCGUUUAAGUAUUGGACUAAUGGACUUUUCAUAACUCCCAUUCGAUAGAAUCCUAAUUCGAGGGCCGGGAAUCGCACCCCCGCUGCUUGGCAGUGGAUCUCCUCACUGGGGCGUUGCGCAUGGUGGCUAAGAAAGACGGCGCACCGCGACGUUCCAUGCCGAAGUGCCCGUGCACGAGGCAAUGCCGGGCCGCACGUACGACAUGACCCGUGUGCAUGUUGCGCGGCUGUCAUCUGGUUGUGUGAGGUUUACACGCUCUGUCUCCGGCGAUCGGUUCGGUCCUAAGCGGUUAGAGUUCGGAUCGGUUGCCUUGGAUUCGCGCGUUUCUCUUGCUCUCGUCCACCAUCCUAAGGCUUUCUUAGAUCCUUGAUACCCUUUUUGGAUUCUUUGGAUCUGGGGUUCGAGCUGGGUGAAUCGCGUUUAAUCUGACUUGGUCAGAACUUGGCCUUGUAGGUUAAGCUUGUGACGAGAGGCUGGCUCUCAUUUCCUGAUUCGUCUAAAAUGCUAGACGUCGGCAAUGAGUACCUUCUUCUCUCGUCCUGCCGGAGUGUCUUGUCGACGCCGCUUGGAUAUAAGAUCCAGUGGGACUGAUUAAGAUGAUCCGUUGGCUGGGCUUAUGAACGAGUCAAUUUUAGACGUGAUUUUUGUGAGACAAGAGGCGCAGGAAUUCGAUACCAUUGAUUUCGUUUUCUUCCGCGUGGGGCUUACCCUUGUUCGGGGGCGGGUACGCGUGCGUCCUACUCGCCGACUCGGGGUGCUGAAUCCAUGGGAAUCCCUCUGAAUGGGAACUCAUAUCAUGGGUUUUAUAAAUCCGAAGUGCCGUAGUAUCGCGCGAAAGACUUUAUAGAUAAUUAGUUCACGCGCGCAAAUUUAGUAUAUGAUUCGCGAGUGUUCCGCGAGUGUGCAACGAGAGGAAGAGGACAACCUGGAGAAUUCUGGGAGGAGGAGGAGGCCGGGGAGAGGCACCGGGCGCCAGCGGAGCAACUAUGGGUAAUCACCGUAGCUUCAUGGUUUGCUGGUUAACUCCGCUCGUUGCGCAUCGGAUCGAUUUACAGGAUCUGAGAGGAGGAGGAGACCCUUGGAGAGGCAUCUGGCCCCGGCGGAGCAACCUUGGGUAAUCAUCGUAGCUUUGUGGCUGAUUAACUCCGCUCGUUG
Long non-coding RNA from Solenopsis invicta (red fire ant), 1732 nucleotides. RefSeq lists it as uncharacterized. The transcript has 8 exons. Lineage: Eukaryota; Metazoa; Arthropoda; Insecta; Hymenoptera; Formicidae. The record is from RefSeq and is a predicted model, not a curated record.